GAAUUUAUGAAAUAUUAAUAAGUUUUUAUUUUUCUAUAUUACUAAAUUAAGAACAUUUUCAGUUUAGCAAUAUACUACCUAUACUCUUUAAGAUAUACUGGAACACUGCAGGUUAAAAAAUUCAUAACAAAUAUGUAAAAUCAUGACUUAGCUUAAAAUUCUUAAGAAAUAUUCUUCAGUUGAUAACUUGAUUUUAAUUUUUUUCGUAAAAGUAGUUGAUAACUUGAUUUAGUAGUAUAUUACUAACACUGUUAGAAUACACACUUGUAGCACUCAUUAUUUUUCAUCAGUUUCUAAAUUGUCAAACUAAAUGAAUAAAAAAUAUGGCAAAACAUGAAUCAAAUUCUUGUUUAUCUUAAUAUAUAGAGAUAUGGAAGAAGGUGGGAACAAUCUCGUGUGUAGAAGCCGAUGACAAAUGCUAAACCGGUUACCGGAGCGGUCAUCUUUAUGUAAAGAAGGCAACAACAAAGGCGAGUAUCGUGAGGUUAUUAGGAUAACACGUGUUAGUUACAGCAGCGGAAUUUGACCGUAACCGACACAUGACCUGGCACGUGGUGGACUAUUCCAUCUGGGUCCCUCAACCCUAAUAAAUAUCAAUAUUAGACGUUAUUUUGUGAAUAUAAUAUUUCAUGUCAAGAGGCAUGAUUACAAGUUAAGAAACUUUCUUAUAAAAACUAAUAAAACUAGAAACUUAUAAAAAAGUUCUCAUGGAUGUAGUUUGUAUGUUUUAUGUAAAUCAAUUGGGACUAAGCCUAAUUUAGAUAUACAACUCAGUAACUAAUUUUAAAGACUUAAAAUAUGACAAAAGUAUGUUACAAAUAUUCAUUUACAAAAAAAAAAAAGGUUACAAAUAUAAGAUUGAAAUUACAGGAUAAGGAAAAUAUGACUGAUGUGCUGACAGAUUACCAACAUCAUCAACGCUUUACAAAUCUCUUUUCGGUCUUCACAUUAGAAGUUGGAACUAUCCUCAAACAUGUAAAAUAAUAAAAGAAUAUAUAUGGUUAAAUUAAUGAAUUAUCAUAUACUCCCCAUGUUUAUAUAAUGUUCUAGCUUUAACACACAAAUUAAGAAAAGUUUACUUUUACCAAAAGUAUUUGAUUACAACAAAAAAUAA
Long non-coding RNA from Brassica rapa (field mustard), 1114 nucleotides. RefSeq lists it as uncharacterized. The record is from RefSeq and is a predicted model, not a curated record. Lineage: Eukaryota; Viridiplantae; Streptophyta; Magnoliopsida; Brassicales; Brassicaceae.